AAUUACCGGCAUAUUGUGUAGUGAUGAACCUAUGAUUUUCUGAAG
This 45-nucleotide small nucleolar RNA is filed under the name Capra hircus (goat). The record is from RNAcentral. Lineage: Eukaryota; Metazoa; Chordata; Mammalia; Artiodactyla; Bovidae.